Mauremys mutica (yellowpond turtle) is the source of this 642-nucleotide long non-coding RNA. RefSeq lists it as uncharacterized. The transcript has 4 exons. Lineage: Eukaryota; Metazoa; Chordata; Testudines; Geoemydidae. The record is from RefSeq and is a predicted model, not a curated record.
GACCCCAUCUGACAUUAGCCCCCCACAUUGUGCCAGGUAAAACUGAGACCUGGACUGAGAUCAUGGCCCCCCUUGUGCCAGGCAGCACACGACUGUGGCCCAGAUUUCUGCCUCCAUUGUGUGGGCACUUCAGAGGCCUCGACUGAGAUCUGUGUCCCCAUUGGGCCUGGCACUACAUUGACCCUGACCCUGAUCAUGCCCCACCACUGUAAUGGGCACUGCACAGACCCUGACAGAAAUCCUGCCUCCAUAUUUUGCCAGAUGCUGCAGGGACCCCAAACAAAAUCAGGGAUCCUGUAAUGCCGGGAGUUGCGGAGCCCUCAACUGAGGUCAGACCCCCUGUUGUGCAGGAGCCCUGCACAGACACUGACCAAGAUCAGGGUCCCCAUUGUGACAGGCUACAGAAUAAUGUCCACGUUUCGCCCCAAAUCAUCCCGUCCUCCCAGCGGGAAGGAAACGGCUGCAAUGGAGCUGGCUCAGAGUUUCCAGUUUCGAAACCUGAUGUGAUUUCGCAGCUGGAACGAGGGGAAGAGCCGUGGGUCCCGGGUCUCUGAGAAAGAAGUGCCCCUCAGAGCUGCCUGCACAGGUGAUGGGAUGGUGAGUGAUAACAAGGAGGAGAAACCCCAGCAGGAAGAUGCUGAG